Molecule: transfer RNA, 76 nt
Filed under: [Desulfovibrio] dechloracetivorans
Lineage: Bacteria; Pseudomonadati; Thermodesulfobacteriota; Desulfovibrionia; Desulfovibrionales; Desulfovibrionaceae
Also listed under: 19 other names
Description: Desulfovibrio dechloracetivorans tRNA-Phe
Rfam family: tRNA
About the family: Transfer RNA (tRNA) molecules are approximately 80 nucleotides in length. Their secondary structure includes four short double-helical elements and three loops (D, anti-codon, and T loops).
Source: RNAcentral
GCUCGGGUAGCUCAGUCGGUAGAGCAGGGGACUGAAAAUCCCCGUGUCGGCAGUUCAAUUCUGUCCCCGAGCACCA